GUCUGGGAAACUGCCUGAUGGAGGGGGAUAACUACUGGAAACGGUAGCUAAUACCGCAUAACGUCGCAAGACCAAAGAGGGGGACCUUUCGGGCCUCUUGCCAUCGGAUGUGCCCAGAUGGGAUUAGCUAGUAGGUGGGGUAACGGCUCACCUAGGCGACGAUCCCUAGCUGGUCUGAGAGGAUGACCAGCCACACUGGAACUGAGACACGGUCCAGACUCCUACGGGAGGCAGCAGUGGGGAAUAUUGCACAAUGGGCGCAAGCCUGAUGCAGCCAUGCCGCGUGUAUGAAGAAGGCCUUCGGGUUGUAAAGUACUUUCAGCGGGGAGGAAGGGAGUAAAGUUAAUACCUUUGCUCAUUGACGUUACCCGCAGAAGAAGCACCGGCUAACUCCGUGCCAGCAGCCGCGGUAAUACGGAGGGUGCAAGCGUUAAUCGGAAUUACUGGGCGUAAAGCGCACGCAGGCGGUUUGUUAAGUCAGAUGUGAAAUCCCCGGGCUCAACCUGGGAACUGCAUCUGAUACUGGCAAGCUUGAGUCUCGUAGAGGGGGGUAGAAUUCCAGGUGUAGCGGUGAAAUGCGUAGAGAUCUGGAGNGAANUACCGGUGGCGAAGGCGGCCCCCUGGACGAAGACUGACGCUCAGGUGCGAAAGCGUGGGGAGCAAACANGGAUUAGAUACCCUGGUAGUCCACGCCGUAAACGAUGUCGACUUGGAGGUUGUGCCCUUGAGGCGUGGCUACCGGAGCUAACGCGUUAAGUCGACCGCCUGGGGAGUACGGCCGCAAGGUUAAAACUCAAAUGAAUUGACGGGGGCCCGCACAAGCGGUGGAGCAUGUGGUUUAAUUCGAUGCAACGCGAAGAACCUUACCUGGUCUUGACAUCCACAGAACUUUCCAGAGACGGAUUGGUGCCUUCGGGAACUGUGAGACAGGUGCUGCAUGGCUGUCGUCAGCUCGUGUUGUGAAAUGUUGGGUUAAGUCCCGCAACGAGCGCAACCCUUAUCUUUUGUUGCCAGCGGUCCGGGCGGGAACUCAAAGGAGACUGCCAGUGAUAAACU
Molecule: ribosomal RNA, 1056 nt
Filed under: uncultured Shigella sp.
Lineage: Bacteria; Pseudomonadati; Pseudomonadota; Gammaproteobacteria; Enterobacterales; Enterobacteriaceae
Description: bacterial SSU rRNA
Rfam family: Bacterial small subunit ribosomal RNA
Source: RNAcentral